Molecule: ribosomal RNA, 253 nt
Filed under: uncultured Eubacteriales bacterium
Lineage: Bacteria; Bacillati; Bacillota; Clostridia; Eubacteriales
Description: uncultured Clostridiales bacterium partial 16S ribosomal RNA
Rfam family: Bacterial small subunit ribosomal RNA
Source: RNAcentral
UACGGAGGAUGCGAGCGUUAUCCGGAUUUAUUGGGUUUAAAGGGUGCGUAGGCGGCGAUGCAAGUCUGAAGUGAAAGGCGGGGGCCCAACCCCCGGACUGCUUUGGAAACUGUAUGGCUGGAGUGCAGGAGAGGUAAGUGGAAUUCCUAGUGUAGCGGUGAAAUGCGUAGAUAUUAGGAGGAACACCAGUGGCGAAGGCGGCUUACUGGACUGUAACUGACGUUGAGGCUCGAAAGCGUGGGGAGCAAACAGG